RNAcentral lists this ribosomal RNA (586 nucleotides) under uncultured bacterium. Its description in RNAcentral is "bacterial SSU rRNA". It matches the Rfam family "Bacterial small subunit ribosomal RNA", at positions 338 to 916 of the family's 1533-position model. The record is from RNAcentral.
CCUACGGGAGGCAGCAGCUAAGAAUCUUCCGCAAUGGGGGAAACCCUGACGGAGCGACGCCGCGUGGAUGAUGAAGGCCGUAAGGUUGUAAAAUCCUUUUGUCGGUGAAGAAUAAGGGGGGGAGUGGAAAGCCUCCCUGAUGACGUUAGCCGACGAAUAAGCCCCGGCUAAUUACGUGCCAGCAGCCGCGGUAAUACGUAUGGGGCAAGCGUUGUUCGGAUUUAUUGGGCGUAAAGGGCGUGUAGGCGGCUCAUCAAGUCUGGUGUGAAAUCGACAGGCUCAACCUGUCAUAUGCGCUGGAAACUGGUGGGCUUGAGUUCUUGAGGGGAAGCUGGAAUUCCAGGUGUAGGAGUGAAAUCUGUAGAUAUCUGGAAGAACACCGGUGGCGAAGGCGAGCUUCUAUCAGAGGACUGACGCUGAGGCGCGAAAGCGUGGGGAGCAAACAGGAUUAGAUACCCUGGUAGUCCACGCUGUAAACGAUGUGCACUAGGCGUGGGGCACGUACGUGUUCUGUGCCGUAGUUAACGUGUUAAGUGCACCGCCUGGGGAGUAUGCUCGCAAGGGUGAAACUCAAAGGAAUUGACGG